This 674-nucleotide long non-coding RNA is filed under the name Homo sapiens (human). RNAcentral's name for it is "non-protein coding lnc-WNT11-3:1". Lineage: Eukaryota; Metazoa; Chordata; Mammalia; Primates; Hominidae. The record is from RNAcentral.
CAUGUGGCCAAAUUCUUCUUUUGCUCCAGAUCCACUCUCCACUGAAAUGUUAUCUCCUUAGUGAAGGUUUGUCUACACCCCUCACACCGGGAACUAAAGGGCUUCCUCUGAAUGUUCAAAAUAACUCUCCCUUAUAGCAUGUCGUACUUUUUACUUUUUUCAGUACAUGUUGUUUUGUUCCUAUUUCACCACCUUAAUUAGACUGUAAGCUCCUUGAACACAAGCUCAAGGAGCAUAUUCCAUGAGUAGAACAGCUCAGAUGGCUUCUUCAUUCCCUUCUCUAGCCUCCCUGGCUUCUGUAAUGCCAGGCUGGGACCACAGAGAUGAGUAAGACGUGGUCCCCAGACCCAAGCUGCUCAAAAGCCUAGUGGGCCAUGGAGAAGCUAGAAGCAGAAAGCCAGGAGAGGGCAGUCCUGUGGAAGAUAACAAGGAAGAGUGUUUCAGGAAGGCAGGAAUGGCCAGCAAGGCCAGGUGCCACUGAACAGGAUAAGGAUGAAAAGUGACCUUUGAGUUUGGGUCUAUGUUUAGAAUUCGGUAGGCACCAAGCUAGAUAAAAGGAAUUUCAGUAUACUCAUAGAACUAAAAAUCAGACUGGAGUGAGUUAACUAGGAAUUGGAGAAAUGAAACAGAAACAGACCUGUAAGCAUUACAGAAAUUAAAUCAGUAGUUAAAAA